This 206-nucleotide ribosomal RNA is filed under the name uncultured bacterium. RNAcentral describes it as "partial 16S ribosomal RNA". It matches the Rfam family "Bacterial small subunit ribosomal RNA", at positions 568 to 774 of the family's 1533-position model. The record is from RNAcentral.
CGCGUAGGCGGGCUAUCAAGUCCGGGGUGAAAUCCUCCAGCUUAACUGGAGAAUGGCCUCGGAUACUGAUGGUCUCGAGGAGGAUAGGGGCACACGGAACUGUGGGUGGAGCGGUGAAAUGCGUUGAUAUCCAUAGGAACUCCGGUGGCGAAAGCGGUGUGCUGGAUCCUUUCUGACGCUGAGGCGCGAAAGCCAGGGAGCAAACG